GAAGUGCUUUAGCAAUAAAGAACCCGGUGACAGGUGCUGCAUGGCUGUCGUCAGCUCGUGUCGUGAGAUGUUGGGUUAAGUCCCGCAACGAGCGCAACCCUCGCCUUUAGUUGCCAGCAUUCAGUUGGGGCACUCUAGAGGGACUGCCGGUGUCAAACCGGAGGAAGGUGGGGAUGACGUCAAGUCCUCAUGGCCUUUAUGUCUAGGGCUACACACGUACUACAAUGGCCGGUACAAAGGGCAGCCACUCAGCGAUGAGGCGCUAAUCCCAUAAAGCCGGUCUCAGUCCGGAUCGCAGUCUGCAACUCGACUGCGUGAAGUUGGAAUCGCUAGUAAUCGUAGAUCAGCAUGCUACGGUGAAUACGUUCCCGGGCCUU
This 377-nucleotide ribosomal RNA is filed under the name uncultured Desulfovibrio sp. RNAcentral's name for it is "bacterial SSU rRNA". It matches the Rfam family "Bacterial small subunit ribosomal RNA", at positions 1005 to 1382 of the family's 1533-position model. The record is from RNAcentral. Lineage: Bacteria; Pseudomonadati; Thermodesulfobacteriota; Desulfovibrionia; Desulfovibrionales; Desulfovibrionaceae.